UGGGGAAUUUUGGACAAUGGGCGCAAGCCUGAUCCAGCAAUGCCGCGUGCAGGAUGAAGGCCUUCGGGUUGUAAACUGCUUUUGUACGGAACGAAAAGGCUCUGGCUAAUACCUGGGGCACAUGACGGUACCGUAAGAAUAAGCACCGGCUAACUACGUGCCAGCAGCCGCGGUAAUACGUAGGGUGCGAGCGUUAAUCGGAAUUACUGGGCGUAAAGCGUGCGCAGGCGGUUUUGUAAGACAGAGGUGAAAUCCCCGGGCUCAACCUGGGAACUGCCUUUGUGACUGCAAGGCUGGAGUGCGGCAGAGGGGGAUGGAAUUCCGCGUGUAGCAGUGAAAUGCGUAGAUAUGCGGAGGAACACCGAUGGCGAAGGCAAUCCCCCUGGGCCUGCACUGACGCUCAUGCACGAAAGCGUGGGGAGCAAACAGGAUUAGAUACCCCUGGUAGUCCACGCCCUAAAACGAUGUCAACUGGUUGUUGGGUCUUAUUGACUCAGUAACGAAGCUAACGCGUGAAGUUGGACCGCCUGGGGAGUACGGCCGCAAGGUUGAAACUC
This 557-nucleotide ribosomal RNA is filed under the name uncultured bacterium. RNAcentral's name for it is "partial 16S ribosomal RNA". It matches the Rfam family "Bacterial small subunit ribosomal RNA", at positions 355 to 902 of the family's 1533-position model. The record is from RNAcentral.